Molecule: ribosomal RNA, 469 nt
Filed under: Klebsiella pneumoniae
Lineage: Bacteria; Pseudomonadati; Pseudomonadota; Gammaproteobacteria; Enterobacterales; Enterobacteriaceae
Description: partial 23S ribosomal RNA
Rfam family: Bacterial large subunit ribosomal RNA
Source: RNAcentral
AUAACAGGCUGAUACCGCCCAAGAGUUCAUAUCGACGGCGGUGUUUGGCACCUCGAUGUCGGCUCAUCACAUCCUGGGGCUGAAGUAGGUCCCAAGGGUAUGGCUGUUCGCCAUUUAAAGUGGUACGCGAGCUGGGUUUAGAACGUCGUGAGACAGUUCGGUCCCUAUCUGCCGUGGGCGCUGGAGAAUUGAGGGGGGCUGCUCCUAGUACGAGAGGACCGGAGUGGACGCAUCACUGGUGUUCGGGUUGUCAUGCCAAUGGCACUGCCCGGUAGCUAAAUGCGGAAGAGAUAAGUGCUGAAAGCAUCUAAGCACGAAACUUGCCCCGAGAUGAGUUCUCCCUGAGACUUUAAGUCUCCUGAAGGAACGUUGAAGACGACGACGUUGAUAGGCCGGGUGUGUAAGCGCAGCGAUGCGUUGAGCUAACCGGUACUAAUGAACCGUGAGGCUUAACCUUACAACGCCGAAG